UACGUAGGGUGCGAGCGUUGCCCGGAUUUAUUGGGCGUAAAGAGCGUGUAGGCGGCCUGACAGGUCUGCUGUGAAAACUCGAGGCUCAACCUCGAGAUGUCGGCGGAACCGUCUGGCUAGAGUCCGGAAGAGGAGAGUGGAAUUCCUGGUGUAGCGGUGAAAUGCGCAGAUAGUCAGGAAGAACACCUAUGGCGAAGGCAGCUCUCUGGGCGACGGUACUGACGCUGAGACGCGAAAGCGUGGGGAGCGAACAGG
RNAcentral lists this ribosomal RNA (255 nucleotides) under uncultured bacterium. RNAcentral describes it as "partial 16S ribosomal RNA". It matches the Rfam family "Bacterial small subunit ribosomal RNA", at positions 524 to 776 of the family's 1533-position model. The record is from RNAcentral.